CUUAGUCGUGUGUACAUCAUUGGGAAUGGAGGGAAAUAAAUGACUGGAUGGUCGCUGCUUUUUAAGUUUCAAAUUGACAUUCCAGACAAGCGGUGCCUGAGCCCGUGCCUGUCUUCAGAUCUUCACAGCACAGUUCCUGGGAAGGUGGAGCCACCAGCCUCUCCUUGCCCUAGCAGAUGCUAAUCCAGCGUGCGUCCUGACAGAGGUUGAAGGGGGCUUCUCAAGUCCCAGGUCCAGCUUGGUGUGGUUCAGCUACUCAAGAGACAUCUGCUGCUAAUGGAUGAGCAGUCAACCUGGACGCAGGAAAUCAUUUUUUAUUUGGGGCAAAGAGGCAGAGGAAUGGAGCUCAGAGCUUUUAGAGAAUAUGGGCCAGAAACAGGAAGGAGUCAGGACCUGAUAACGGGAACCAGCGGACAGUGAACGCAGUGGAGGGCCACUGGGGCCGGAGCAGCCGAGAGAUUUCAGGAGAAUAACUGGGAGAUGAAACAGGAAGCUCUAUGACACACUUGAUCGAAUAUGACAGACACCGAAAAUCACGACUCAGCCCCCUCCAGCACCUCUACCUGUUGCCCGCCGAUCACAGCCGGAAUGCAGCUGAAAGAUUCCCUGGGGCCUGGUUCCAACCGCCCACUGUGGACUCUGAGGCCUCUGCAUUUGCGGGUGGUCUGCCUGUGA
This is a long non-coding RNA of Homo sapiens (human), 675 nucleotides long. Ensembl annotates it as cytoskeleton regulator RNA. Its record names the gene CYTOR. NCBI's taxonomy places the organism in Eukaryota, Metazoa, Chordata, Mammalia, Primates, Hominidae. The record is from Ensembl.